This 540-nucleotide ribosomal RNA is filed under the name Alternaria brassicae. RNAcentral describes it as "eukaryotic LSU rRNA". The stretch from base 182 to 334 matches the Rfam family "5.8S ribosomal RNA". The record is from RNAcentral. Lineage: Eukaryota; Fungi; Ascomycota; Dothideomycetes; Pleosporales; Pleosporaceae.
UGCGGAGGGAUCAUUACACAAAUAUGAAGGCGGGCUGGAACCUCUCGGGGUUACAGCCUUGCUGAAUUAUUCACCCUUGUCUUUUGCGUACUUCUUGUUUCCUUGGUGGGUUCGCCCACCACUAGGACAAACAUAAACCUUUUGUAAUUGCAAUCAGCGUCAGUAACAAAUUAAUAAUUACAACUUUCAACAACGGAUCUUUGGUUCUGGCAUCGAUGAAGAACGCAGCGAAAUGCGAUAAGUAGUGUGAAUUGCAGAAUUCAGUGAAUCAUCGAAUCUUUGAACGCACAUUGCGCCCUUUGGUAUUCCAAAGGGCAUGCCUGUUCGAGCGUCAUUUGUCCCUCAAGCUUUGCUUGGUGUUGGGCGUCUUGUCUCUAGCUUUGCUGGAGACUCGCCUUAAAGUAAUUGCAGCCGGCCUACUGGUUUCGGAGCGCAGCACAAGUCGCACUCUCUAUCAGCAAAGGUCUAGCAUCCAUUAGCCUUUUUUCAAACUUUUGACCUCGGAUCAGGUAGGGAUACCCGCUGAACUUAAGCAUAUCA